RNAcentral lists this ribosomal RNA (2444 nucleotides) under wastewater metagenome. Its description in RNAcentral is "bacterial LSU rRNA". It matches the Rfam family "Bacterial large subunit ribosomal RNA", at positions 14 to 2486 of the family's 2925-position model. The record is from RNAcentral.
AGAGCAAAUGGCGGAUGCCUAGGCUCUCAGAGGCGAUGAAGGACGUGGUAAGCUGCGAUAAGCUACGGUAAGGUGCAAACGACCAUUACAACCGUAGAUUUCCGAAUGGGGCAACCCGAUACUUUGAAGAAGUAUCGUUCGAUAGAACGCUAACCCAGGGAACUGAAACAUCUAAGUACCUGGAGGAAAAGAAAACAAAAGUGAUUCCCUAAGUAGUGGCGAGCGAACAGGGAAUAGCCUAAACCAUAACGAUUUCGGUCGUUACGGGGUUGUAGGACCACGACGUGAUUAUAUUAUCUUAAGCAGAAGAAUUCUGGAAAGUUUUACCAUAGUGGGUGAUAGUCCCGUAUGCGUACAGUUAAUAUGAUCUAGUGGUAUCCUGAGUAGUGCGGGACCAGAGAAAUCUUGCAUGAAUCUGCCGGUACCAUCCGGUAAGGCUAAAUACUCCCGAGAGACCGAUAGCGAACUAGUACCGUGAGGGAAAGGUGAAAAGUACCGCAAGAAGCGGAGUGAAAUAGUACCUGAAACCAUGUGCUUACAACCGGUCGGAGCCAAUUUAUUUGGUGACGGCGUGCCUUUUGCAUAAUGAGCCUACGAGUUACUCGUCAUUGGCAAGGUUAACCUAUAAUGGGGAGCCGUAGCGAAAGCAAGUCUGAAUAGGGCGAAUAGUCAGUGGCGGUAGACGCGAAACCUGUGUGAUCUACCCAUGGGCAGGUUGAAGGUGUGGUAACACACACUGGAGGACCGAACCAAUAAGCGUUGAAAAGCUUCUGGAUGACCUGUGGGUAGGGGUGAAAGGCCAAUCAAACUGGGAGAUAGCUCGUACUCCCCGAAAUGCAUUUAGGUGCAGCCUCGGAAUGUAAGUGUUAUAGAGGUAGAGCUACCGAUUGGACUAGGGGGCUUCACCGCCUACCAAAUCCUGACGAACUCCGAAUGCUAUAACACAUGUCCGGGAGUGAGGCGCGGGGUGCUAAGGUCACGCGCCGAAAGGGAAACAACCCAGAUUAUCAGCUAAGGCCUCUAAAUCUAUGUUAAGUUGUUUAAACGAUGUUUGGUUGCUAUGACAGCUAGGAUGUUUGCUUGGAAGCAGCAAUUCAUUUAAAGAGUGCGUAACAGCUCACUAGUCGAGUGACCGAGCGCGGAAAAUAAUCGGGCAUCAAACAUAGUGCCGAAGCUAUAGGAUUUACCAUUAGGUAAAUCGGUAGGGGAGCAUUCUGUUCUGCAUCGAAGGCGAUUCGUAAGGAUCUCUGGAGCGGACAGAAAAGAAAAUGUAGGCAUAAGUAACGAUAAAAAAAAUGAAAAAUUUUUUCGCCGUAAGUCUAAGGAUUCCUGAUCAACGCUAAUCGAAUCAGGGUUAGUCGGGUCCUAAGGUGUAACCCGAGAGGGGCAACCGAUGGAAAGCUGGUUAAUAUUCCAGCACCUGCUUAUAUUGCGAUGGGGUGACGAAGGUGUGAAAGUACCGCGGGGUUACGGAAUAUCCCGUUAAAGCGUGUAGAUAUUGAUAGAGUAGGCAAAUCCGCUCUUGAAUCGAACGUGAUAGUACACAAGGUUUUCGAACUGAGUGAUAGUGUACCUAAUCAGACUUCCUAGAAAAACCUCUAAGCUUCAGGUAUAAGCAGCCCGUACCGUAAACCGACACAGGUAGACGAGGAGAGUAUCCUCAGGCGCUCGAGUGAGUCACGGCUAAGGAACUCGGCAAAAUGGACCCGUAACUUCGGGAGAAGGGUCGCCCCAGCAAUGGGGCCGCAGUGAAAAGUAUCAGGCGACUGUUUAACAAAAACACAGGGCUCUGCAAAAUCGAAAGAUGAAGUAUAGGGCCUGACACCUGCCCGGUGCUGGAAGGUUAAGGAAGGUUGUUAGCCGCAAGGCAAAGCUUCCGACUGAAGCCCCAGUAAACGGCGGCCGUAACUAUAACGGUCCUAAGGUAGCGAAAUUCCUUGUCGGGUAAGUUCCGACCUGCACGAAUGGUGUAACGAUCUGAUAACUGUCUCAGCCGCGAGCUCGGUGAAAUUGUAGUCCCGGUGAAGAUGCCGGGUACCCGUAACGGGACGGAAAGACCCCGUGAACCUUCACUACAACUUUGCAUUGACUUUGAGUAAACGAUGUGUAGCAUAGGUGGGAGACUUUGAAGCGGGCACGCUAGUGUUCGUGGAGUCAACGUUGAAAUACCACCCUUUGUUUACUUAGAGCCUAAUCCGCUAAGCGGAGAAAGUGCAUGGUGGGUAGUUUGACUGGGGUGGUCGCCUCCAAAAGAGUAACGGAGGCUUCCAAAGGUACCCUCAGCACGCUUGGUAACCGUGCGCAGAGUGUAUUAGCAUAAGGGUGCUUGACUGUGAGACCGACGGGUCGAGCAGGUACGAAAGUAGGGUAAAGUGAUCCGGUGGUUCUGCAUGGAAGGGCCAUCGCUCAAAGGAUAAAAGGUACUCCGGGGAUAACAGGCUGAU